This 177-nucleotide long non-coding RNA is filed under the name Ictidomys tridecemlineatus (thirteen-lined ground squirrel). RNAcentral's name for it is "lncRNA (ENSSTOG00000033535.1)". The record is from RNAcentral. Lineage: Eukaryota; Metazoa; Chordata; Mammalia; Rodentia; Sciuridae.
CUCAAGAAAGACAACUUGCUUUAGGGAUAGUUCAAGUCAUAACCCUCCCAGAGUUGAGAGCUGCUGUGAGCAGACCCUGACCUGAGCCUGGCUGAGGAAGAGAAAAGUAGUGGUGUCUGAGAAGUGCCCAUGUUGCUCCAGGUGUGCAUUUUUCUAAUUCCUUACCACACUAAGUUA